This 1212-nucleotide ribosomal RNA is filed under the name uncultured marine eukaryote. Its description in RNAcentral is "SSU rRNA". It matches the Rfam family "Eukaryotic small subunit ribosomal RNA", at positions 576 to 1807 of the family's 1831-position model. The record is from RNAcentral.
UCGGUAAUUCCAGCUCCAAUAGCGUAUAUUAAAGUUGUUGCAGNUAAAAAGCUCGUAGUUGAAUUUCUGAUAGAAGGGAGCGGUUCCGCAUUCUUGCGGAUACUGGCUCGUCUUCCGUCAUCCUUGGGCUUAGUCUCGCUGACAUUAACUUAUCGGCGUGUACGAUGCCCAUCGUUUACUGUGAGCAAAUUAGAGUGUUCAAAGCAGGCAUUUUGCCAUUGAAUAUAUUAGCAUGGAAUAAUAAGAUAGGAUUUCACGAUUUUAUUUUGUUGGUUUGCGUUGUGAAAUAAUGAUUAAGAGGGACAGUUGUGGGUAUUCGUAUUCAGAUGUCAGAGGUGAAAUUCUUAGAUUAUCGGAAGACGAACGACUGCGAAAGCAUUUACCAAGGAUGUUUUCAUUAAUCAAGAACGAAAGUAUGGGGAUCGAAGAUGAUUAGAUACCAUCGUAGUCUAUACCAUAAACUAUGCCGACUCAGGAUCGGCGGGCCAAUUUUUUUUGCUCGUCGCCACUGUAUGAGAAAUCAAAGUCUUUGGGUUCCGGGGGGGAGUAUGGUCGCAAGGCUGGAACUUAAAGAAAUUGACGGAAGGGCACCACCAGGAGUGGAACCUGCGGCUUAAUUUGACUCACCNCGGGAAAACUUAUCAGGUCCAGACAUAAUGAGGAUUGNCAGAUUGAGAGCUCUUUCCUUGAUUUUAUGGGUGGGGGGGCAUGGCCGUUCUUAAGUUGGUGGAGUGAAUUGUCUGGUUAAUUCCGUUAACGAACGAGACCCCAGCNUGCUAAAUAAUCACGCGAAUGAUUCUUCAUUGGCGAUGGUUUCUUAGAGGGACAUGUUCGAACAACGAACAGGAGGAUUGGGGCAAUAACAGGUCUGUGAUGCCCUUAGAUGUUNUGAACCGCACGCGUGUUACANUGAUGCAUUCANCGAGCUAUUAACCUUGGCCGAGAGGCCUGGGAAAUCUUGGAACGUGCAUCGUGAUAGGGAUUGAUUAUUGCAAUUUUUAAUCAUGAACGAGGAAUUCCUAGUAAACGCAGAUCAUCAAUCUGCAUUGAUUACGUACCCUGCCCUUUGUACACACCGCCCGUCGCACCUACCGAUUGAGUGACUCGAUGAAGGCUCGGGAUNGUGGUUAUUGCUUUCAUUAGGAAUUACUGCGAGAACUUGUCUGAAUCUCGCCACUUAGAGGAAGGUGAAGUCGUAACAAGGUAGCCGUA